This 389-nucleotide ribosomal RNA is filed under the name uncultured bacterium. Its description in RNAcentral is "bacterial SSU rRNA". It matches the Rfam family "Bacterial small subunit ribosomal RNA", at positions 30 to 417 of the family's 1533-position model. The record is from RNAcentral.
AUUGAACGCUGGCGGCAUGCCUUACACAUGCAAGUCGAACGGCAGCACGGGAGCUUGCUCCUGGUGGCGAGUGGCGAACGGGUGAGUAAAGCAUCGGAACGUGCCCUGAAGUGGGGGAUAACGUAGCGAAAGUUACGCUAAUACCGCAUAUUCUGUGAGCAGGAAAGCAGGGGAUCUUCGGACCUUGUGCUUUAGGAGCGGCCGAUGUCGGAUUAGCUAGUUGGUGAGGUAAAGGCUCACCAAGGCGACGAUCCGUAGCGGGUCUGAGAGGAUGAUCCGCCACACUGGGACUGAGACACGGCCCAGACUCCUACGGGAGGCAGCAGUGGGGAAUUUUGGACAAUGGGCGCAAGCCUGAUCCAGCCAUGCCGCGUGAGUGAAGAAGGCCU